RNAcentral lists this transfer RNA (74 nucleotides) under Methanobrevibacter sp. RNAcentral describes it as "tRNA-Arg". It matches the Rfam family "tRNA". Rfam says of the family: Transfer RNA (tRNA) molecules are approximately 80 nucleotides in length. The record is from RNAcentral. Lineage: Archaea; Methanobacteriati; Methanobacteriota; Methanobacteria; Methanobacteriales; Methanobacteriaceae.
GCCCGAAUAAUUCAGAUGGAUAGAAUGCGGUCCUUCUAAGACUGACGUCGGGGGUUCAAGUCCCUCUUCGGGUG